GAAAGAAGAAAUCUUUUCUAGAUUGUUUCUUCCUGCACCUCCAUAUGUCCUUCUCUCACCUUCAUAAAUUUUCAUAUUUAUAAAAAUAUUCUAAAUUACAUAAUCUGGAAGUUAUUUUCCAAAUUCGUUAUCAACUUCCAUAUUACAUAAUUCAGAAGUCUUUUUUCAGAUGCAUGAUUAGUUUUUGGAUUAUAUAAUCCGAUAGUUUUUUUGGCUUUCAGAUUAUGUAAUCCAGAAGUCUUUUUUCAAAUGUGUGUCCAGAUUACAUAAUUUGAAAGCUACUCUAUGGGAGUGACACAAGAAGGA
This 306-nucleotide long non-coding RNA is filed under the name Phaseolus vulgaris (common bean). RNAcentral's name for it is "long non-coding RNA (PVUL_LNC003869)". The record is from RNAcentral. Lineage: Eukaryota; Viridiplantae; Streptophyta; Magnoliopsida; Fabales; Fabaceae.